This 72-nucleotide transfer RNA is filed under the name Prevotellaceae bacterium. RNAcentral describes it as "tRNA-Thr". It matches the Rfam family "tRNA". From Rfam's summary of the family: Transfer RNA (tRNA) molecules are approximately 80 nucleotides in length. Their secondary structure includes four short double-helical elements and three loops (D, anti-codon, and T loops). Further hydrogen bonds mediate the characteristic L-shaped molecular structure. tRNAs have two regions of fundamental functional importance: the anti-codon, which is responsible for specific mRNA codon recognition, and the 3' end, to which the tRNAs corresponding amino acid is attached (by aminoacyl-tRNA synthetases). tRNAs cope with the degeneracy of the genetic code in two manners: having more than one tRNA (with a specific anti-codon) for a particular amino acid; and 'wobble' base-pairing, i.e. permitting non-standard base-pairing at the 3rd anti-codon position. The record is from RNAcentral. Lineage: Bacteria; Pseudomonadati; Bacteroidota; Bacteroidia; Bacteroidales; Prevotellaceae.
GCUGAUGUAGCUCAGUGGUAGAGCACUUCCUUGGUAAGGAAGAGGUCAUGAGUUCAAGCCUCAUCAUCAGCU